GACGAACGCUGGCGGCGUGCUUAACACAUGCAAGUCGAACGGUAAGGCCCUUCGGGGUACACGAGUGGCGAACGGGUGAGUAACACGUGGGUGAUCUGCCCUGCACUUCGGGAUAAGCCUGGGAAACUGGGUCUAAUACCGGAUAGGACCAUGGACUUCACGGUUUGUGGUGGAAAGCUUUUGCGGUGUGGGAUGGGCCCGCGGCCUAUCAGCUUGUUGGUGGGGUAAUGGCCUACCAAGGCGACGACGGGUAGCCGGCCUGAGAGGGUGUCCGGCCACACUGGGACUGAGAUACGGCCCAGACUCCUACGGGAGGCAGCAGUGGGGAAUAUUGCACAAUGGGCGCAAGCCUGAUGCAGCGACGCCGCGUGAGGGAUGACGGCCUUC
This 387-nucleotide ribosomal RNA is filed under the name uncultured bacterium. Its description in RNAcentral is "bacterial SSU rRNA". It matches the Rfam family "Bacterial small subunit ribosomal RNA", at positions 28 to 419 of the family's 1533-position model. The record is from RNAcentral.